Molecule: ribosomal RNA, 886 nt
Filed under: Escherichia coli
Lineage: Bacteria; Pseudomonadati; Pseudomonadota; Gammaproteobacteria; Enterobacterales; Enterobacteriaceae
Description: partial 23S ribosomal RNA
Rfam family: Bacterial large subunit ribosomal RNA
Source: RNAcentral
CAGCCCAGAGCCUGAAUCAGUAUGUGUGUUAGUGGAAGCGUCUGGAAAGGCGCGCGAUACAGGGUGACAGCCCCGUACACAAAAAUGCACAUAUUGUGAGCUCGAUGAGUAGGGCGGGACACGUGGUAUCCUGUCUGAAUAUGGGGGGACCAUCCUCCAAGGCUAAAUACUCCUGACUGACCGAUAGUGAACCAGUACCGUGAGGGAAAGGCGAAAAGAACCCCGGCGAGGGGAGUGAAAAAGAACCUGAAACCGUGUACGUACAAGCAGUGGGAGCACGCUUAGGCGUGUGACUGCGUACCUUUUGUAUAAUGGGUCAGCGACUUAUAUUCUGUAGCAAGGUUAACCGAAUAGGGGAGCCGAAGGGAAACCGAGUCUUAACUGGGCGUUAAGUUGCAGGGUAUAGACCCGAAACCCGGUGAUCUAGCCAUGGGCAGGUUGAAGGUUGGGUAACACUAACUGGAGGACCGAACCGACUAAUGUUGAAAAAUUAGCGGAUGACUUGUGGCUGGGGGUGAAAGGCCAAUCAAACCGGGAGAUAGCUGGUUCUCCCCGAAAGCUAUUUAGGUAGCGCCUCGUGAAUUCAUCUCCGGGGGUAGAGCACUGUUUCGGCAAGGGGGUCAUCCCGACUUACCAACCCGAUGCAAACUGCGAAUACCGGAGAAUGUUAUCACGGGAGACACACGGCGGGUGCUAACGUCCGUCGUGAAGAGGGAAACAACCCAGACCGCCAGCUAAGGUCCCAAAGUCAUGGUUAAGUGGGAAACGAUGUGGGAAGGCCCAGACAGCCAGGAUGUUGGCUUAGAAGCAGCCAUCAUUUAAAGAAAGCGUAAUAGCUCACUGGUCGAGUCGGCCUGCGCGGAAGAUGUAACGGGGCUAAACCAUG